Molecule: RNA transcript, 901 nt
Organism: Propithecus coquereli (Coquerel's sifaka)
Lineage: Eukaryota; Metazoa; Chordata; Mammalia; Primates; Indriidae
Gene name: 60S ribosomal protein L8 pseudogene
Exons: 2
Source: RefSeq, a predicted model, not a curated record
AUGGGGGUGGGGGUACAUCCCAGUAGUACUCUGUUCACUGCUCCUGGACUCUGCACUCUCAUUUCCCCUCCUUCACGGACCCGCCGCCAGGGGCCGCAUGAUCCGUGCACAGAGGAAGGCUCCAUCUCUGUCUUCCGGGCACACGUGAAGCACCGCAAGGGCGCCGCGCGACUGCGCACCAUGGUCUUGGCGGAGCGGCACGGCUACAUCAAGGUCAUCGUGAAGGAUGGCAUCGUGAAGGAUAUCAUCCACGACCCAGGCCACAGUGCUCCCCUCGCAAAGGUAGUCUUCCGCAAUCCAUACCAGUUUAAGAAGAGGACGGAGCUCUUCAUCACUGCUGAGGGUAUUCAUACGGGCCAGUUCGUGUACUGUGGCAAGAAAGCCCAGCUCAACAUUGGCGAUGUUCUCCCUGUAGGCAGUAUGCCUGAGGGUACAAUCUUGUGCUGCCUGGAGGAGAAGCUUGGGGACUGUGGCAAGCUAUCUUGGGCCUCAGGGAGCUAUGCCACUGCUAUCUCCCUUAAUCUGAAGACUAAGAAGACCCGUGUGAAGCUGCCCUCUGGCUCCAAGAAAGUCAUCUCCUCAGCUGACAGAACGGUUGUUGGUGUGGUGGCCAGAGAUGGCGGAAUUGAGAAACCCAUCCUGAAGGCUGGCCGUGCUUACCACAAAUACAAGGCAGAGAGGAACUGCUGGCCACGUGUGCAGGGUGUAGCCAUGAACCCUGUGGAGCAUCUCUUCGGAGAUGGUAACCACCAACACAUGAGCAAGCCCUCCACCAUCUGCAGAGAUGCCCCCACUGCCCAAAAAGUGGGUCUCAUUGCUGCCCACCAGACUGGACGUUUCCGGGGAACAAGAUAGUUCAGGAGAAAGACCUAGGGCAGAGGGGCUCAAUAAAGCUUGUCCU